This 340-nucleotide long non-coding RNA is filed under the name Calidris pugnax (ruff). RNAcentral's name for it is "lncRNA (ENSCPUG00000010067.1)". The record is from RNAcentral. Lineage: Eukaryota; Metazoa; Chordata; Aves; Charadriiformes; Scolopacidae.
GACAAUUUGAGGACUUCUACGUUCAUAAGGGGACCUAUCUGCUCAAAACUGACUGGUGAGACAGCCAGAUCAUCACCGGUGAGAGGAGAAGGCAAAGUGAUUUAGAGAAUCACACUGCUCUGAAAAGCACAGAGAACUGGGAAGAACAGCUGCUGCUGUUUUUCAUUUGGAAGUCUUGAUAACCUAGCACCUUCAACAGUUUGGGGAACCUGCUUACUGCUUGGUCACUUUCAGGUGUUUGGCACAGCAGCUACAGUGGUGGUGACAUGGUCCACGAUCCAGACUCUGAACCGCUAAUGAAGCAUAUAAAGUGAAAAAUAAAUGCCAAGCCAUUCCUUCA